This 253-nucleotide ribosomal RNA is filed under the name uncultured microorganism. Its description in RNAcentral is "partial small subunit ribosomal RNA". It matches the Rfam family "Bacterial small subunit ribosomal RNA", at positions 524 to 776 of the family's 1533-position model. The record is from RNAcentral.
UACGGGGGAGCAAGCGUUGUUCGGAUUUACUGGGCGUAAAGGGCGCGUAGGCGGUCAGCACAAGUCAGUUGUGAAAUCUCCGAGCUUAACUCGGAAAGGUCAACUGAUACUGUGCGACUAGAGUGCGGAAGGGGCAACUGGAAUUCUCGGUGUAGCGGUGAAAUGCGUAGAUAUCGAGAGGAACACCUGCGGCGAAGGCGGGUUGCUGGGCCGACACUGACGCUGAGGCGCGAAAGCUAGGGGAGCGAACGGG